RNAcentral lists this ribosomal RNA (502 nucleotides) under uncultured Sphingobacteriales bacterium. Its description in RNAcentral is "bacterial SSU rRNA". It matches the Rfam family "Bacterial small subunit ribosomal RNA", at positions 903 to 1382 of the family's 1533-position model. Lineage: Bacteria; Pseudomonadati; Bacteroidota; Sphingobacteriia; Sphingobacteriales. The record is from RNAcentral.
CGCCUUGCCAGCCCGCUCAGAACUUAAAUGAAUUGACGGGGGCCCGCACAAGCGGUGGAGCAUGUGGUUUAAUUCGAUGAUACGCGAGGAACCUUACCUGGGCUCAAAUGUAUGUUGACGUAUUCUGAAAGGGAUACUUCUUCGGACAAUAUACAAGGUGCUGCAUGGUUGUCGUCAGCUCGUGCCGUGAGGUGUCGGGUUAAGUCCCAUAACGAGCGCAACCCCUAUCAUUAGUUGCCAUCAGGUCAAGCUGGGGACUCUAAUGAAACUGCCUACGCAAGUAGUGAGGAAGGUGGGGAUGACGUCAAAUCAUCAUGGCCCUUACGGCCUGGGCUACACACGUGCUACAAUGGUCGGUACAAAGGGUUGCCAAGCCGCGAGGUGGAGCUAAUCCCAUAAAACCGAUCGUAGUCCGGAUCGCAGUCUGCAACUCGACUGCGUGAAGUCGGAAUCGCUAGUAAUCGUGAAUCAGAAUGUCGCGGUGAAUACGUUCCCGGGCCUU